RNAcentral lists this ribosomal RNA (377 nucleotides) under uncultured organism. RNAcentral describes it as "partial 16S ribosomal RNA". It matches the Rfam family "Archaeal small subunit ribosomal RNA", at positions 477 to 851 of the family's 1478-position model. The record is from RNAcentral.
CAGCACCUCAAGUGGUCAGGAGGGUUAUUGGGCCUAAAGCAUCCGUAGCCGGCUGCACAAGUCUUCGGUUAAAUUCAUAUGUUCAACAUAUGGGCUGCCGGAGAUACUGUGCAGCUAGGGAGUGGGAGAGGUGGACGGUACUCGAUAGGAAGGGGUAAAAUCCUUUGAUCUAUUGAUGACCACCUGUGGCGAAGGCGGUCCACUAGAACACGUCCGACGGUGAGGGAUGAAAGCUGGGGGAGCAAACCGGGAUUAGAUACCCGGGUAGUCCCAGCUGUAAACUAUGCAAACUCAGUGAUGCAUUGGCUUGUGGCCAGUGCAGUGCCGCAGGGGAAGCCCGUUAAGUUUGCCGCCUGGGAAGUACGUACGCAAGUAUG